This 1286-nucleotide ribosomal RNA is filed under the name uncultured bacterium. Its description in RNAcentral is "bacterial SSU rRNA". It matches the Rfam family "Bacterial small subunit ribosomal RNA", at positions 28 to 1320 of the family's 1533-position model. The record is from RNAcentral.
AACGAACGCUGGCGGCGUGCUUAACACAUGCAAGUCGAACGGGGUACAAGGAGUAGCAAUACGAGAUGUAUCAAGUGGCAGACGGGUGAGUAACACGUAGGUAACCUACCCUCGAGCGGGGGGCAACUCAGGGAAACUUGGGCUAAUACCGCAUAAGACCACGGACUGGGAUGUUUGUGGGAAAAGGAGCAAUUCACUUGGGGAUGGGCCUGCGGCCUAUCAGGUAGUUGGUGGGGUAAAGGCCUACCAAGCCAGAGACGGGUAGCCGGUCUGAGAGGACGAACGGCCACACUGGAACUGAGACACGGUCCAGACUCCUACGGGAGGCAGCAGUGGGGAAUUUUGCACAAUGGGCGAAAGCCUGAUGCAGCGACGCCGCGUGGAGGACGAAGGCCUUCGGGUCGUAAACUCCUUUUGUAGGGGAAAAUWAUGAUGGUACCCUAUGAAUAAGCCMCGGCUAACUCYGUGCCAGCAGCCGCGGUAAUMCAGAGGGGGCGAGCGUUAUUCGGAAWUAUUGGGCGUAAAGGGCGCGUAGGCGGUGUUUUAAGUGGGAUGUGCAWYCCCCGGGCUUAACCUGGGAACUGCAUCCCAGACUGGAACGCUAGAGUGCUKGAGAGGGUGGUAGAAUUCCACGUGUAGCGGUGAAAUGCGUAGAGAUGUGGAGGAAUACCAGUGGCGAAGGCGGCCACCUGGACAGCAACUGACGCUGAGGCGCGAAAGUGUGGGUAGCAAACAGGAUUAGAUACCCUGGUAGUCCACGCUGUAAACGAUGAACACUUGGUGGUGGCCGGGAGUUGACCCCUGCCGUGGCCGUARCUAACGCGCUWAGUGUUUCCGCCUGGGGGAGUACSGUCGCMAGGCUGAAACUCAAARGAAUUGACGGGGGSCCGCACAAGCGGUGGAGCAUGUGGUUUAAUUCGACGCAACGCGAAGAACCUUACCUGGGCUUGAACUGCAGUGGACCGGUGCAGAGAUGUGCCUUUUCGCAAGAACUGCUGCAGAGGUGCUGCAUGGCUGUCGUCAGCUCGUGUCGUGAGAUGUUGGGUUAAGUCCCGCAACGAGCGCAACCCUUACCCUUAGUUGCCAGCGAGUCAAGUCGGGAACUCCAAGGGGACCGCCCGGGUUAACCGGGAGGAGGGUGGGGAUGAUGUCAAGUCCUCAUGGCCCUUAUGUCCAGGGCUACACACGUGCUACAAUGGGUGAUACAAACCGUUGCGAUACCGCGAGGUGGAGCUAAUCGGAGAAAGUCGCCCUCAGUUCGGAUUGCAGUCUGCAACUCGACUGCA